RNAcentral lists this ribosomal RNA (253 nucleotides) under uncultured bacterium. RNAcentral describes it as "partial 16S ribosomal RNA". It matches the Rfam family "Bacterial small subunit ribosomal RNA", at positions 524 to 776 of the family's 1533-position model. The record is from RNAcentral.
UACGAGGGGUCCUAGCGUUGUUCGGAUUCAUUGGGCGUAAAGGGUGCGUAGGCGGCGGGGUAAGUCUGAUGUGAAAGGCCGGGGCUCAACCUCGGGACUGCAUUGGAUACUGCCUUGCUCGAGAACUGGAGAGGAGACUGGAAUUUACGGUGUAGCAGUGAAAUGCGUAGAGAUCGUAAGGAAGACCAGUGGCGAAGGCGAGUCUCUGGACAGAUUCUGACGCUGAGGCACGAAGGCCAGGGGAGCAAACGGG